Molecule: ribosomal RNA, 253 nt
Filed under: uncultured bacterium
Lineage: Bacteria
Description: partial 16S ribosomal RNA
Rfam family: Bacterial small subunit ribosomal RNA
Source: RNAcentral
UACGUAGGGUGCGAGCGUUGUCCGGAAUUAUUGGGCGUAAAGGGCUCGUAGGCGGUUUGUCGCGUCGGGCGUGAAAACCUUGGGCUUAACUCAGGGCUUGCUUUCGAUACGGGCAGACUAGAGGUAUGCAGGGGAGAACGGAAUUCCUGGUGUAGCGGUGAAAUGCGCAGAUAUCAGGAAGAACACCAAUGGCGAAGGCAGCUCUCUGGGACGGUACUGACGCUGAGACGCGAAAGCGUGGGGAGCGAACAGG